Molecule: unclassified non-coding RNA, 575 nt
Filed under: Entoloma sp. 2 CG-2012
Lineage: Eukaryota; Fungi; Basidiomycota; Agaricomycetes; Agaricales; Entolomataceae
Description: sequence contains ITS1, 5.8S rRNA gene, ITS2
Rfam family: 5.8S ribosomal RNA (bases 238-391)
Source: RNAcentral
UAUUGAAUUAAAAUUUGGUUGGGUUGCUGCUGGUUCUCUGGAGCAUGUGCACGCUCAUUCCAUUUUUAACCACCUGUGCACCCAUUGUAGACCUGAAUGAAAUUUAUUUCGAGGAAACUCGGUUUGAGAACUGCUACCAAGCUGUUCUUGCAUUCAGGCUCUAUGUAUAUAACAUAUCCUCUGUAAUAAGUAAUUGAAUGUUAAUUUAUAGGCCUAUUGUGCCUUUAAACCUAAUACAACUUUCAACAACGGAUCUCUUGGCUCUCGCAUCGAUGAAGAACGCAGCGAAAUGCGAUAAGUAAUGUGAAUUGCAGAAUUCAGUGAAUCAUCAAAUCUUUGAACGCACCUUGCGCUCCUUGGUAUUCCGAGGAGCAUGCCUGUUUGAGUGUCAUUAAAUUCUCAAGGAGUUUGUUCUCUUUGGAUUUUGGAGUGUUUGCUGGCUUGAAUCUUGUUCAGCUCCUCUCAAAUGCAUUAGCUUGUGCUUCUGUGGAAUCAGGCUUUGGUUUGAUAGUAUCUAUGUCAUUGCCUUUGAAACAAAUGAGCUAGCUUCUAAUCAUUUUAUUUUUGACAUUUUG